AAAAACAUGUAUAUAUGUAUUUUUUGGGAUUAAUUUUGAAUGAAAAUUAUUUAAUUUUUUCUCUAAUACAAAGAAGAUUUUUCUCUCCAUUUUUCUUUUUUUGCUUUUGAUUUUAUAUUUUGCAAAACAAUUUAUUAUAUAUGAGUUACAAUAAUUAGAGAUCUUAAACAAUGAUUAUACAUACGAGUUUAAUAAGUAACAAUUUUUUUUUUCAAUUUAUGUUCGGACAUGUAAAGAAUCAUGUCCUUCUAAUAUUAUAAAUAAUUGUGCAUUUUGACUAUCUCGACACUUUGGUUGAGAAAGUGAAGUUGUUUGUUCAUGAAGUGACAAGGAAGAACGAUAUUUUGACUUUCACUUAGAUAUAUUUAUCCAAGGUGAAAGCCGCUUUUAAUGAGGUAAAUCGGUCUUUGGAUCUUUGCCCGGAGAAAGACAUAAGAGCUGGAGAAGCCUCUGAAAGAAUCUCAGGAAAGAGAGAAAAUGGCUAUGGACGACCUUCGUACGAUUUCCUUUGAGAAUCUUGAUCUUUAUAAGGAUUUGUCCAAGUCAAUAGAAGAAAGUUACUUCAUUUCCAAUGACACUUUUGAGAGUGCCUUGAAACAUGUGUAGUAUUUUUAUCCUACAGUGUUGAUCUCCUGAGAGCAAGCUCGUCUUGAUCAGACUAUCAAAACUAGAAAGGUGGUCUUCUUGAAGGAUUAAUAUUCCUUUUUUUUCCGGCAUGCUUGUACUCAAAAUUUUCUCAGGUUCUAUUAUCUAGGACAUAGCUUUUUCUCCGAGGUUGCGCUUGAAGUUUAUUGGAAUUCUCUAGGGACAAUGUAUGGCCAAUGGCUGAUACCCCUUCUUUGCCCCCAGAUAAAAACCUAGUUCGAGAUUGACGUAUGACCGACUCACAAUUACCUAUGGAGUGACUAGCUACCAAGAGGGGGUGAGUCGAUAUUUUCCCAUUUGUGGCCUGCUUUCUUUAUGUGUGUGUCAAUUGGAAUAAUGGAAUUUUAAUUGUUUUAAUCAUACAUUUAUGGUAUUUGUGACAACACUUGAGUCUUUGUGA
This is a long non-coding RNA of Lathyrus oleraceus (garden pea), 1045 nucleotides long. RefSeq lists it as uncharacterized. Lineage: Eukaryota; Viridiplantae; Streptophyta; Magnoliopsida; Fabales; Fabaceae. The transcript has 2 exons. The record is from RefSeq and is a predicted model, not a curated record.